Podarcis lilfordi (Lilford's wall lizard) is the source of this 69-nucleotide non-coding RNA. The record is from the annotation of a GenBank genome assembly. NCBI's taxonomy places the organism in Eukaryota, Metazoa, Chordata, Lepidosauria, Squamata, Lacertidae.
GCCAUAACUCAGAGGCUGAGCUUCUGUUUUGCAUGCAGAAGGUCACAGGUUCAAUCCCUCAUAUCUCCA